RNAcentral lists this ribosomal RNA (372 nucleotides) under uncultured bacterium. RNAcentral describes it as "bacterial SSU rRNA". It matches the Rfam family "Bacterial small subunit ribosomal RNA", at positions 521 to 895 of the family's 1533-position model. The record is from RNAcentral.
UAAUACGUAGGUGGCAAGCGUUGUCCGGAUUUAUUGGGUUUAAAGGGUGCGUAGGCGGCUUAUUAAGUCAGUGGUGAAAUAUCGCAGCUUAACUGUGAGGGUGCCAUUGAUACUGAUGAGCUUGAGUACAGACGAGGUAGGCGGAAUUGACGGUGUAGCGGUGAAAUGCUUAGAUAUCGUCAAGAACACCUAUAGCGAAGGCAGCUUACUAGGCUGUAACUGACGCUGAGGCACGAAAGUGUGGGGAUCAAACAGGAUUAGAUACCCUGGUAGUCCACACUGUAAACGUUGAUUACUCGCUGUUUGCGAUACACAGCAAGCGGCUUAGCGCAAGCGAUAAGUAAUCCACCUGGGGAGUACGCCGGCAACGGU